GAAGGAGCUAGAGAUUAAGCUUUUCCACAAUGCAAAUUAAUUCAACAAUAUACCUCUUAUUUAAUUAGUAAAAAGCUUAAUAAUAGCCUUCUGAUAAGCAAAUGUUGCAUUUUAGAGGUGAUAUUAUGGCA
This 131-nucleotide small RNA is filed under the name Trichormus variabilis ATCC 29413. Its description in RNAcentral is "Anabaena variabilis ATCC 29413 Avalong 5' UTR thermometer". It matches the Rfam family "Avalong 5' UTR thermometer". Lineage: Bacteria; Bacillati; Cyanobacteriota; Cyanophyceae; Nostocales; Nostocaceae. The record is from Rfam by way of RNAcentral.